AGCUUUCUGUAUCUGUGGUGAGAUUUCGUUAGCGAUCAAGCCAUUACGGCUGAUGUGACCUCCAAAAUAAAUGAAGUA
Molecule: microRNA precursor, 78 nt
Filed under: Trichobilharzia regenti
Lineage: Eukaryota; Metazoa; Platyhelminthes; Trematoda; Strigeidida; Schistosomatidae
Description: mir-3492 microRNA precursor family
Rfam family: mir-3492 microRNA precursor family
Source: Rfam by way of RNAcentral